This 224-nucleotide ribosomal RNA is filed under the name uncultured Anaerolineaceae bacterium. Its description in RNAcentral is "partial 16S ribosomal RNA". It matches the Rfam family "Bacterial small subunit ribosomal RNA", at positions 1159 to 1381 of the family's 1533-position model. Lineage: Bacteria; Bacillati; Chloroflexota; Anaerolineae; Anaerolineales; Anaerolineaceae. The record is from RNAcentral.
UAAACCGGAGGAAGGUGGGGAUGACGUCAAGUCAGCAUGGCCUUUAUAUCCUGGGCUACACACACGCUACAAUGGGAAGGGACAAUAGGUUGCGAAGCCGCGAGGCGGAGCCAAUCCAGCAAAAUUCCCUCAGUUCAGAUUGCAGGCUGCAACUCGCCUGCAUGAAGUUGGAGUUGCUAGUAAACGCAGGUCAGCCAUACUGCGUUGAAUACGUUCCCGGGCUU